This 194-nucleotide ribosomal RNA is filed under the name uncultured bacterium. Its description in RNAcentral is "partial 16S ribosomal RNA". It matches the Rfam family "Bacterial small subunit ribosomal RNA", at positions 338 to 524 of the family's 1533-position model. The record is from RNAcentral.
CCUACGGGAGGCAGCAGUGGGGAAUAUUGGACAAUGGGCGAAAGCCUGAUCCAGCAAUGCCGCGUGUGUGAAGAAGGCCUGCGGGUUGUAAAGCACUUUCAGCAGGGAAGAACAGCAUGGGGCUAAUACCUCCAUGUCCUGACGUCACCUGAAGAAGAAGCACCGGCUAACUCCGUGCCAGCAGCCGCGGUAAU